ACCUGGUAGGCACUCAAUAAAUAUGAGUUUCCUUCUCACUUCAAUGUUAAUUACAGAACAACGAGGGCAAAGCGACACAUUUCAGAUGUUUAUGUCUGAUAACGCCAAUUCCUUCUCUUUCACAGUGUGUUAAUACACUUACCUGAUGACUUUGUUUCUGAAAACCAGGAACAGAAACUGACGCAUGGACUCGGGGCAUAUGCAAUCUGAGGGUCUAGAGUCCUGCUGACCAGCAUGGUAGCCACCAGCCACAGGAGCCUACUACAGUUUAAUUACAAUUAAAUCAAAGCAAAACUUCAGUUCCUCAGCCACUCUUGCCACCUUUCAAGUGCUCACUGCCAGGACCACACAUGGAGACACAUCCUGAUGCUUAUACAAUAUGUGAGGGCUUCUUUAGGAAAAAGGGUAAAAAAUUGUGAACACAAAUUAGGUAGAAAAGCAAAUAUUUAUUUAGACCUCAAAUUCCUGGAAUCAAAGAGAUUCAGGGCCUCUGAGAUCUCUUCAGGCAAUUUACCAGAAAUGCUGACGUUAAAAUGCUUCAUGAUGGCAACCUGGCUUCUCCUCUCUAUCUGGAACAUCCUCUAGCACCCUGCAACACCGGCACUCACCAGAGCCCUGCAAGUGAGGGUCUCCAAAGCUCAACAUCUCCUAGUGUCAUGGUAAAUCCCCCUCUGACCAUAGAUCCCAGCAUUCUGGAUGGGGUUGUAGAGUGACCUCAGGUUUUUGAGCCCUCCAGUUUUUCUUUGACAAAUAAGAGAAUGACCCCAGAAAAGUAAACUAGGUUCCCCACUCUCUCGUAACUUUUAACAUCGGGAAUGAGAAUGAGAACCAGGUCUCCUGUUUCCCAGCCCGUGUCCUGGCCUGUAAACUACAGUGUCUGAUAAGAGGUUGCACCAUGAAGCAGUCAGAGCUUAGAGCUUAGAGUCAGAAGAUUGGAGUUACAAAUCCUUAAGCUGCAUCUCUCUAGCAGUGAGAUCUUGGGCAAAUCACACAGCUUCUCUGAACCUUACUUUCUUCAUCUAAUAUGAGCCUCUUGGGUUUGUUGUGUGCAUUAAGUGAAAUAAUGUAAUGAAAAUGUAUAAAAUGUGGUAGUACUUAAUGAACAUUGAUUGCCUCAUUGUCUUAAUGCCAUUCCUUGCACUAUGCCUUUCUACAAGAGCGUGUGUGUUUGGAGCAAAAGAAUGUGAAAUUAAACGAUGUAACUAAAAUUUCUUAAAUUGUUUUUUGCAAGUCUAAAUGGAGAAGAACC
RNAcentral lists this long non-coding RNA (1249 nucleotides) under Equus caballus (horse). Its description in RNAcentral is "lncRNA (ENSECAG00000046032.1)". The record is from RNAcentral. Lineage: Eukaryota; Metazoa; Chordata; Mammalia; Perissodactyla; Equidae.